RNAcentral lists this ribosomal RNA (253 nucleotides) under uncultured bacterium. RNAcentral's name for it is "partial 16S ribosomal RNA". It matches the Rfam family "Bacterial small subunit ribosomal RNA", at positions 524 to 776 of the family's 1533-position model. The record is from RNAcentral.
UACGUAGGUGGCGAGCGUUGUCCGGAUUUACUGGGCGUAAAGCGCGCGCAGGCGGACUGAUCAGUCUGGGGUGAAAUCUCACGGCUCAACUGUGAGCGGUCCCUGGAUACUGUCAGUCUUGAGAUGUCUAGAGGAGAGCGGAAUUCCCGGUGUAGUGGUGGAAUGCGUAGAUAUUGGGAGGAACACCAGUGGCGAAGGCGGCUCACUGGACCGGAACUGACGCUGAGGCGCGAAAGCGUGGGGAGCAAACAGG